GAGUUUGAUCCUGGUUCAGGAUGAACGCUGGCGGCGUGCCUAACACAUGCAAGUCGAGCGAGAUUUAUGUGAGUGGAGACUUCGGUCAAAGCAAUCAUAAUGAAAGCGGCGGACGGGUGAGUAACGCGUGAGCAAUCUGCCCCAUACAAAGGGAUACCCACUGGAAACGGUGAUUAAUACCUUAUGAGACCACAAUGCCGCAUGGCAUAGGGGUCAAAGAUUUAUCGGUAUGGGAUGAGCUCGCGCCUGAUUAGCUAGUUGGUGAGGUAAUGGCUCACCAAGGCGACGAUCAGUAGCCGACCUGAGAGGGUGAACGGCCACACUGGAACUGAGACACGGUCCAGACUCCUACGGGAGGCAGCAGUGGGGAGUAUUGCACAAUGGGCGCAAGCCUGAUGCAGCAACGCCGCGUGAAUGAUGAAGGCCUUCGGGUCGUAAAGUUCUGUCCAAAGGGAAGAAUACAGUGACGGUACCUUUGGAGGAAGCCCCGGCUAACUACGUGCCAGCAGCCGCGGUAAUACGUAGGGGGCAAGCGUUAUCCGGAAUCACUGGGCGUAAAGGGAGCGUAGGCGGUUUGACAAGCCAGAGGUGAAAGGCAAUAGCUUAACUAUUGUAAGCCUUUGGAACUGUCGAACUUGAGUGCAGGAGAGGAAAGUGGAAUUCCUAGUGUAGCGGUGAAAUGCGUAGAUAUUAGGAGGAACACCAGUGGCGAAGGCGACUUUCUGGAUUGUAACUGACGCUGAGCUCGA
RNAcentral lists this ribosomal RNA (749 nucleotides) under uncultured Acidaminobacter sp. Its description in RNAcentral is "bacterial SSU rRNA". It matches the Rfam family "Bacterial small subunit ribosomal RNA", at positions 9 to 756 of the family's 1533-position model. Lineage: Bacteria; Bacillati; Bacillota; Clostridia; Peptostreptococcales; Acidaminobacteraceae. The record is from RNAcentral.